AUUGAACGCUGGCGGCAGGCUUAACACAUGCAAGUCGAACGUGUGGCGGACUGGUGUGUAAUUCUUGGGAAUCUUGCUUAUGGCUGGGGAUAACUUCGGGAAACUGUAGCUAUUACCGCGUACCAUAGGAUGAGCCCAAGUGGGAUUAGGGAGUUGGUGAGGUAAAGGCUCACCAAGCCGACGAUCUCUCGCUGGGAUGAGAGGAUGACCAGCCACACUGGGACUGAGACACGGCCCAGACUCCUACGGGAGGCAGCAGUGGGGAAUAUUGCGCAAUGGGGGCAACCUGACGCAGCCAUGCCGCGUGAAUGAAGAAGGCCUUCGGGUUGUAAAGUUCUUUCGGUAGCGAGGCGUUAACUACAGAAGAAGCACCGGCUAACUCCGUGCCAGCAGCCGCGGUAAUAG
This 405-nucleotide ribosomal RNA is filed under the name uncultured bacterium. RNAcentral's name for it is "partial 16S ribosomal RNA". It matches the Rfam family "Bacterial small subunit ribosomal RNA", at positions 30 to 526 of the family's 1533-position model. The record is from RNAcentral.